This 1191-nucleotide ribosomal RNA is filed under the name Triticum aestivum (bread wheat). RNAcentral describes it as "partial small subunit ribosomal RNA". Lineage: Eukaryota; Viridiplantae; Streptophyta; Magnoliopsida; Poales; Poaceae. The record is from RNAcentral.
AUGAGUAUCUCAGGCGAGGUCCCCGACGAAGGCUCUGACGGCGAGGAGGUCUUCAUCGACGAGCAGGACAUCAUCCAGGAGAUACACCUCGACGAGGAAGAUCUCCCCGACCAUGACGAUGAUGAUGACGAUGAGGAAGACCAAGAGAUGGAUGAGGUGGAGGAUCAUUCAACUUAUGCAUUUCAUGGGCAUACAGAUGAGGUCUUUGCUGCUGCGUGCAGUCCUACAGAUGCAUCACUUGUUGUGUCUGGAGGUAAAGAUGACAGAGGGUUUCUUUGGAGGAUUGGAUCUGCACAGGAUUUUCAGGAGCUGACUGGACAUGGAGACACGGUGUGCACUGUGGCUUUUAGUUCAGAUGGGAAAUUGGUGGCUUGUGGAAGUAUGGAUGGACAGAUAAAUGUAUGGAAUACAGCUACACGGACACUUCAGGGAACCCUCGAGGGUUCCUCAGGAUCAGGCUUUGAGUGGCUCAGAUGGCAUCCACGUGGUAAUUUGAUAAUUGCAGGAUCAGAAGACUGUAACGUAUGGAUGUGGAAUGCUGACCACAAUGCCUUUCUGAAUACGUUUGCUGGUCACAGUAGCACAGUGACAUGUGGUGAUUUUACCCCUGAUGGUAAGCUUAUAUGUAGUGGAUCUGAUGAUGCAACAUUGAGGAUAUGGGAACCCAAAAGCGCACAAUGCAGACAUGUUGUUCGGGGUCAUGGCUAUCAUACUCAAGGAUUGACAUGCUUAGCCAUUACUCCGGACUCCCAAUCAAUUGUUAGUGGCUCGGAGGAUAAUUCUGUGCACAUUGUGAGCAUAAACUCAGGCCAGGUUGUUGGUUCAUUAGUUGGCCACACCAAUUCCAUCGAGUGCAUUGGCAUCUCAUCGAGGUACAACUGGGUGGCUACAGGGAGCAUUGAUAGAACUCUGAUUAUCUGGGACCUCGCCCGUCAAGCAAUUCGAUCUACUUGCGAGCAUGAUGAAGGCGUGACAUGCCUGGCGUGGCUGGGUUCGUCGAGGUAUGUGGCGUCGGGGUGCAUCGACGGCAUGGUGCGCAUCUGGGACAGCCUCUCCGGGGACUUGGCUCACACCUUCAGCGGGCACAGGGACGUCGUGCAGUCGCUGGCUGUCUCUGCCGACGGCAACUCCAUAGUCUCGGUCUCCACUGAUAAAUCAGCACGCGUCUUCGACGUCUCCAUGUUCAAGUGA